Molecule: unclassified non-coding RNA, 316 nt
Filed under: plant metagenome
Description: partial contains 5.8S ribosomal RNA, internal transcribed spacer 2, and large subunit ribosomal RNA
Rfam family: 5.8S ribosomal RNA (bases 1-105)
Source: RNAcentral
GAAAUGCGAUAACUAGUGUGAAUUGCAGAAUUCCGUGAAUCAUCGAGUCUUUGAACGCACAGUGCGCCCCCUGGUAUUCCGGGGGGCAUGCCUGUCCGAGCGUCAUUGCUGCCCAUCAAGCACGGCUUGUGUGUUGGGUCGUCGUCCCCUCUCCGGGGGGGACGGGCCCCAAAGGCAGCGGCGGCACCGCGUCCGAUCCUCGAGCGUAUGGGGCUUUGUCACCCGCUCUGUAGGCCCGGCCGGCGCUUGCCGAACGCAAAUCAAUCUUUUUCCAGGUUGACCUCGGAUCAGGUAGGGAUACCCGCUGAACUUAAGC